AUAAGCAACAGCCCAAAGACUGGGAUAGCGGACUCAAAGGUCCAGUAAUUCCGGAUGUGGCCCUUCCCCCGCAUGAGGGAGGGCUUAAAUGGUUUUAAGCUUCAGGAGCGGCUUAUGACCAUCAGUCAGUUGGCGGGGUAACGGCCCACCAUGGUUACGACGGGUAGGGGGUCUGAGAGGAUGAUCCCCCCGAGUGGGGGCGAGACACGGCC
Molecule: ribosomal RNA, 212 nt
Filed under: uncultured bacterium
Lineage: Bacteria
Description: partial 16S ribosomal RNA
Rfam family: Bacterial small subunit ribosomal RNA
Source: RNAcentral